GAUGAAGAACGUAGCGAAAUGCGAUACGUAAUGUGAAUUGCAGAUCUCUCAGUGAACCAUCGAAUUUUUGAACGCACAUAGCGCCCCUUGGUAUUCCGAGGGGCAUGCCUGUUCGAGCGUCAUUAUAACCCCUCAAGCUCAGCUUGGUGUUGGGGCCUGCUGCACUGGCAGCCCUUAAAAUCAGUGGCGGCGCCAUCUGGCUCUAAGCGUAGUAAUUCUUCUCGCUAUGGAGUCCUGGUGGAUGCUUGCCAUCAACCCCCAAUUUUUCUAUGGUUGACCUCGGAUCAGGUAGGGAUACCCGCUGAACUUAAGCAUAUCAUAAGCGGAGGA
This 330-nucleotide unclassified non-coding RNA is filed under the name soil metagenome. RNAcentral's name for it is "partial contains 5.8S ribosomal RNA, internal transcribed spacer 2, and large subunit ribosomal RNA". The stretch from base 1 to 122 matches the Rfam family "5.8S ribosomal RNA", at positions 35 to 154 of the family's 154-position model. The record is from RNAcentral.